AACGAACGCUGGCGGCAUGCCUAACACAUGCAAGUCGAACGAAACCGUCGGGCCUAGGUGCGCACGGGUGGUGGACGCCUGGUAACUUGCCCGUAAGUUCGGUGUAACUGCCCGAAGGGGGUGCUAAUACCGGUGAAUGUCUUCGGAGCAAAGAGUUAUCGCCUUUGGAUGGGCGCGGGUUGGUUUAGCUGGUUGGUAGGGUAAAAGCCUACCAAGGCGACGAUCCAUAGCUGGUGUGAGAGGAGGACCAGCAACACUGGGACUGAGACACGGACCACAACGCUACGGGAGGCAGCAGUAGGGUAUAUAGGAGAAGGGGCGAAAGUGUGAGACAGCCAUGCGGGGGGAGUGAUGCAGGGCUUAGGGUUGUAAAGCUCUUUUACCCGGGAUGAUAAUGACAGUACCGGGAGAAUAAGCACCGGCUAACUACGUG
Molecule: ribosomal RNA, 433 nt
Filed under: uncultured bacterium
Lineage: Bacteria
Description: partial 16S ribosomal RNA
Rfam family: Bacterial small subunit ribosomal RNA
Source: RNAcentral